RNAcentral lists this ribosomal RNA (428 nucleotides) under uncultured bacterium. RNAcentral describes it as "bacterial SSU rRNA". It matches the Rfam family "Bacterial small subunit ribosomal RNA", at positions 29 to 451 of the family's 1533-position model. The record is from RNAcentral.
AGUGAACGCUGGCGGCGUGCUUAACACAUGCAAGUCGAACGAGAACGGGUCUAGCUUGCUAGACUGUCAGCUAAGUGGCGGACGGGUGAGUAAUGUAUAGUUAAUCUGCCCUUUAGAGGGGGAUAACAGUUGGAAACGACUGCUAAUACCCCAUACUCCUUUUAUCUUAAUGAUAAUUGGGAAAUGUUUUUUCGCUAAAGGAUGAGACUAUAUGGUAUCAGCUAGUUGGUGAGGUAAUGGCUCACCAAGGCAAUGACACCUAGCUGGUCUGAGAGGAUGAUCAGCCACACUGGAACUGAGACACGGUCCAGACUCCUACGGGAGGCAGCAGUGGGGAAUAUUGCACAAUGGAGGAAACUCUGAUGCAGCAACGCCGCGUGGAGGAUGACACAUUUCGGUGCGUAAACUCCUUUUAUAUGGGAAGAUAA